AAGAAAUCCUCUGUGUGUUCUCCUUCAUCAUAAAGGCUGGUGAGAAUGAGAAGCCUAACUCAUCAUUAAUCCACAGGCAAAGUACUAUUCAAGCAGCUGUAGUGAAAGCUCUCGUACGCUGCCCUGGAAAUAACCCCAGCCUUGACGUGGUAAAAUGACCCUAGUCCAGGUGUCAGUGACACAACACCGCCACCAUGCAGCGAGUGGACAGAUAUCUGAAAAUGUGCUAGCCCUUCCGAGUUCCAGCAGCCCUUCCAGAGCUGCAUGCAAUACUGCAUUCACUCCAGGACACAAAAUGAGCUUUUAUAAUAGAAUCAAGGGCAUGGAAAUAACAAAAACUGCAGACAGAAUCGACUUGCAGUGUUCAGUAAGGCUCUUCUGCUGUGAGAAAAAUGGAGACUUCAUAGAAACUGUGUCCCCGAGCCCUUUGAAUCAGGUAAUGUCACAUCUAACUUGCAAUACUGAGUGUUAGCUCCCAUAAAUAUUGUUCCUGCUAUUUAAAUACUGCUGCAUUCUUCACUGUACAGAACCCGGCCCCGUGCAAAACCUUUUAGACUUCAGCAUUUCUUUGCUUCAGGGCCUAACCUCAAGUUCAUAAAAUAUUUGUAGCUGUCAGCCUAGCGCAUCCACAGAAACUGCACAGAUGCAGAAAGCCUAUCUGAUGUAGUGUUAGUAAGAAUAAUUUUAGAAUUGCAAAUAUUUAGCAGGUUUUUAACAGAUACAUAUAUAUACACUUACAUAUGUAAGUGCAUAUAUUAUAUGGCAUAUAUAUUAGGCAAAGUAUACAUGAGAAAAUCCAUGAUUGCUUUGAUGAUGGCACAUCCAAACUGGGCUGUUAGCAAUGAAAAAUGUCUUUAACAUACCAAGACAGUACUUGAACAUUCAGUUUGUGAUGCUCGUUCUUGUUUCAUAUUGAAGGUAGCUGAUGAGACAUGUCAUUUUAACACCUUAUUACUGCUCUGUUAUAAUUCUGCCAAGCCUUGAUUCUUUGCUUUCAAAAGCUACAGAAUAGAAUAUCUGCCCUGGCCUCCAGAUCUGUCUUUUGUAUGUUUUUAGCUAAUUGGAAAAGUGAAGCCACCUAGGAACUAACACAGCUUUAUUGGAAGACUGUGGUUAUGAUCACAAAAUGCAUGAGGUUUGGUUCUUGGUAUGCGUUGUGUUGCUGUGUUCUGCACUUGGCUACUUGCUGUGCUACUCAGCAGUGCCCAUCCAAUGCCUGGAGGACAGGGGGAAAUGAGGAAGAGCCUGGCUUGGAACUUGGGAGUGCUAUAUUAAUAUUAAAUGUGAGAAAGAGAGACCAAGUCAUGAAUUGUGCCUGUAGUUAGCUUGUGUGAAGCACUGCCUAAGUGCAGAAUACUGUUGGUCCUUCGUUUCACUGCAGAAAACAAAUUCUGGUGUUCAAAUUCUAGAUAAACCCUCAAGGAAAUCAACACUAUGGUUCUCAGGAUUUGAAUAAUGUACAAUAAAUAAGGCCUGAGGUCACA
This 1484-nucleotide long non-coding RNA is filed under the name Phasianus colchicus (ring-necked pheasant). RNAcentral's name for it is "lncRNA (ENSPCLG00000010558.1)". The record is from RNAcentral. Lineage: Eukaryota; Metazoa; Chordata; Aves; Galliformes; Phasianidae.